Molecule: small nucleolar RNA, 86 nt
Filed under: Triticum aestivum (bread wheat)
Lineage: Eukaryota; Viridiplantae; Streptophyta; Magnoliopsida; Poales; Poaceae
Description: Small nucleolar RNA Z247
Rfam family: Small nucleolar RNA Z247
About the family: Z247 is a member of the C/D class of snoRNA which contain the C (UGAUGA) and D (CUGA) box motifs. Most of the members of the box C/D family function in directing site-specific 2'-O-methylation of substrate RNAs.
Source: Rfam by way of RNAcentral
GCCAUGCAAGAUGAUGAACUCAUCUCCUACAUCCUCCAUGGCCUCGACAUGGAGUAUCAACCUCUAGUCUCGGCCCUCGAUGCACA